CUUGAGCAUUGAAGUGGAACUCGUGGCCCAAGGCCAAGAGUCUUCUUUAAACUUUAACCUUUGGUUGCAGGUAUUGGAAGUGCUCGGUCUUGGAAGCCCCUUGUCAUCAAUAGGUGUGUUAAGCGUGGACUCACGUGCUUAAAAAUUUUUUCACCUGAUCAAAAAUCAAUCAACUCCCAACUAGAAUAUUAGACUUUCCAGCCUACUGUCCAAGUAGAAAAUAUCGCUCAAUAGAGUACUACUAUUGACAAAACUGAGGGAGCCAUACUGCCAUUAGCAGCUAUUAUAAUGGGAGCUAUUUAAAUAUUUGGUUUGACUUUUGUUAUCAAUACAAUAGUUAUAGUACUAG
Molecule: unclassified non-coding RNA, 349 nt
Filed under: Hevea brasiliensis (rubber tree)
Lineage: Eukaryota; Viridiplantae; Streptophyta; Magnoliopsida; Malpighiales; Euphorbiaceae
Source: RNAcentral